AGCGCAGGCGGUUUGAUAAGUCUGAAGUUAAAGGCUGUGGCUCAACCAUAGUUCGCUUUGGAAACUGUCAAACUUGAGUGCAGAAGGGGAGAGUGGAAUUCCAUGUGUAGCGGUGAAAUGCGUAGAUAUAUGGAGGAACACCGGUGGCGAAAGCGGCUCCCUGGUCUGUAACUGACGCUGAGGCUCGAAAGCGUGGGGAGCGAACA
Molecule: ribosomal RNA, 206 nt
Filed under: uncultured bacterium
Lineage: Bacteria
Description: partial 16S ribosomal RNA
Rfam family: Bacterial small subunit ribosomal RNA
Source: RNAcentral